GGGUUGAAGGACUGCUUGUUUGGAGAGAGAGAGAGAGAGAGAGAGGGGAGUAUUGAGGGGGUUGAAGGACUGCUUGUUGGGAGAGAGAGAGAGAGAGAGGGAGGGGGUUGAAGGACUGCUUGUUGGGAGAGAGAGAGAGAGAGCGAGAGAGAGAGAGAGGGGAGUAUUGAGGGGGUUGAAGGACUGCUUGUUGGAAGAGAGAGAGAGAGGAGUAUUGAGGGGGGUUGAAGGACUGCUUGUUGGAAGAGAGAGAGAGAGAGAGAGGGGGGGGGUAUUGAGGGGGUUGAAGGACUGCUUGUUGGAAGAGAGAGAGAGGAGUGUUGAGGGGGUUGAAGGACUGCUUGUUGGAAGAGAGAGAGAGAGAGAGGGGGGGUAUUGAGGGGGUUGAAGGACUGCUUGUUUGGAAGAGAGAGAGAGAGAGAGAGAGAGAGGGAGUAUUGAGGGGGUUGAAGGACUGCUUGUUGGAAGAGAGAGAGAGAGGUGUAUUGAGGGGGUUGAAGGACUGCUUGUUGGAAGAGAGAGAGAGAGAGAGAGAGAGAGAGAGGGAGUAUUGAGGGGGUUGAAGGACUCCUUGUUGGAAGAGAGAGAGAGGAGUAUUGAAGGGGUUGAAGGACUGUUUGUUGGAAGAGAGAGAGAGAGAGAGAGAGAGAGGAGAGUAUUGAGGGGGUUGAAGGACUGUUUGUUGGGAGAGCGAGAGAGAGAGAGAGAGAGAGAGAGAGGAAGGAGUAUUGAGGGGGUUGAAGGACUGUUUGUUUGGAGAGAGAGAGAGAGAGAGAGAGAGAGAGGGAGUAUUGAGGGGGUUGAAGGACUGUUUGUUGGGAGAGAGAGAGAGAGAGGAGUAUUGAGGGCGUUGAAGGACUGCUUGAUGGAAGAGAGAGAGAGAGGAGUGUUGAGGGGGUUGAAGGACUGUUUGUUGGGAAGAGAGAGAGAGAGAGAGAGAGAG
This 943-nucleotide long non-coding RNA is filed under the name Salmo salar (Atlantic salmon). RNAcentral's name for it is "lncRNA (ENSSSAG00000095581.1)". Lineage: Eukaryota; Metazoa; Chordata; Actinopteri; Salmoniformes; Salmonidae. The record is from RNAcentral.